CCUANGGGGGGCAGCAGUAGGGAAUAUUGGUUAAUGUGCGAAAGCGCGAACCAGCAACGCCGCGUGUGCGAUGAAGGCCUUCGGGUUGUAAAGCACUUUUUGAGGGAAAGAGGAAGGACGGUACCUUCAGAAUAAGCCUCGGCUAACUACGUGCCAGCAGCCGCGGUAAAACGUAGGAGGCGAGCGUUAUCCGGAUUUACUGGGUGUAAAGCGCGUGCAGGCGGUUCGGAAAGUUGGAUGUGAAAGCUCCCGGCUUAACUGGGAGAGGUCGUUCAAUACUUCCGGACUAGAGGAUGAGAGAGGGAGGUGGAAUUCCGUGUGUAGUGGUGAAAUGCGUAGAUAUACGGAGGAACACCUGUGGCGAAAGCGACCUCCUGGCUCAUUACUGACGCUCAGACGCGAAAGCUAGGGUAGCAAACGGGAUUAGAUACCCUUNUANUC
This 441-nucleotide ribosomal RNA is filed under the name uncultured bacterium. Its description in RNAcentral is "bacterial SSU rRNA". It matches the Rfam family "Bacterial small subunit ribosomal RNA", at positions 338 to 795 of the family's 1533-position model. The record is from RNAcentral.